AUUGAACGCUGGCGGAAUGCUUUACACAUGCAAGUCGAACGGCAGCACGGACUUCGGUCUGGUGGCGAGUGGCGAACGGGUGAGUAACAUAUCGGAACGUAUCCAAUAAUGGGGGAUAACUAAUCGAAAGGUUGGCUAAUACCGCAUACGCGCUACGGGGGAAAGCAGGGGAUCUUCGGACCUUGCGUUAAUGGAGCGGCUGAUAUCUGAUUAGCUAGUUGGCGAGGUAAAGGCUCACCAAGGCGACGAUCAGUAGCUGGUCUGAGAGGACGAACAGCCAAACUGGAACUGAGACACGGUCCAGACUCCUACGGGAGGCAGCAGUGGGGAAUUUUGGACAAUGGGCGCAAGCCUGAUCCAGCCAUUCCGCGUGAGUGAAGAAGGCCUUCGGGUUGUAAAGCUCUUUCGCAAGGGAAGAAAACUUACUUUCUAAUAAAGAGUGAGGUUGACGGUACCUUGAUAAGAAGCACCGGCUAACUACGUGCCAGCCGCCGCCGUAA
Molecule: ribosomal RNA, 500 nt
Filed under: uncultured bacterium
Lineage: Bacteria
Description: partial 16S ribosomal RNA
Rfam family: Bacterial small subunit ribosomal RNA
Source: RNAcentral